RNAcentral lists this long non-coding RNA (768 nucleotides) under Ananas comosus (pineapple). Its description in RNAcentral is "long non-coding RNA (ACOM_LNC033075)". Lineage: Eukaryota; Viridiplantae; Streptophyta; Magnoliopsida; Poales; Bromeliaceae. The record is from RNAcentral.
UUUAUUCAAUAUUAACGAAGUAUUAUUUUGAAAUUGGAUAUAAAAAAUAAAAAAAAUUAAUAAAUUUGGAUUUCAUAUGAAUUUUAUCGGUACAGAUCCAAAUUUGAAUUCGAAUAAAUUUUACAUUUUAUAUAAUAUAUAUAAAUAUUUAAUAUUAUAUUUAAAAGCCUGUAUUUUUAUCCAUACCCACUCACGUCUUUUUUUUUACUCCUAUAUUUUUUAAAUACAAAAUACAUAUGCAUAAUUUUAAAAGAUCAUAAUAUAACUUAUUGUUUAAAAUAUCAUAACAUGCAAUAAUUAGUAUAAAAUCUUAAAAUGUAUAAACUAUAUGUAAAAAUAUUUUACAUAUAGACUCGGGUACCAACGGAUGAUGACAGAGCGGUGCAGUGGCGAGGUAGUGCGGUAGGUGAGAUAGCCAUCGUGAAGAAAAAGACAUGAGGAGAAAUUAGAUUUGGAGUUUUUAAAAAAGAGCAGAGAAAAUAAAAAAAUUAGUAUUCACUAGUUUAACGAAUAUCUAUCCAUUUUAUUCAUAAUUUUUUAUAUAAGAAAACUUACUAUUCAUAUUUGUAAAUAUAUGGAUAACUUGUAGGUACCCGCGAGUACGGAUAGAAAUUAUAAGGUCUAAUAAAGAGAAAAGAUUAUUUCCGCCUCGUAUUUUCGGAUUCAAAUUUCAGAAUUUUGAAAGAAUUAAAUUUUGAACAUAAAAUUUUAAAAUUUAUCGAAUUCAAAUUUGGUUGUGGGAUUCGGUUUGAAUUUUUGAAAAUUCAC